This 965-nucleotide ribosomal RNA is filed under the name Staphylococcus cohnii. RNAcentral describes it as "bacterial SSU rRNA". It matches the Rfam family "Bacterial small subunit ribosomal RNA", at positions 53 to 1001 of the family's 1533-position model. Lineage: Bacteria; Bacillati; Bacillota; Bacilli; Caryophanales; Staphylococcaceae. The record is from RNAcentral.
AAAUGCAGUCGAGCGACAGAUAAGGAGCUUGCUCCUUUGACGUUAGCGGCGGACGGGUGAGUAACACGUGGGUAACCUACCUAUAAGACUGGAAUAACUCCGGGAAACCGGGGCUAAUGCCGGAUAACAUUUAGAACCGCAUGGUUCUAAAGUGAAAGAUGGUUUUGCUAUCACUUAUAGAUGGACCCGCGCCGUAUUAGCUAGUUGGUAAGGUAACGGCUUACCAAGGCAACGAUACGUAGCCGACCUGAGAGGGUGAUCGGCCACACUGGAACUGAGACACGGUCCAGACUCCUACGGGAGGCAGCAGUAGGGAAUCUUCCGCAAUGGGCGAAAGCCUGACGGAGCAACGCCGCGUGAGUGAUGAAGGUCUUCGGAUCGUAAAACUCUGUUAUUAGGGAAGAACAAAUGUGUAAGUAACUAUGCACGUCUUGACGGUACCUAAUCAGAAAGCCACGGCUAACUACGUGCCAGCAGCCGCGGUAAUACGUAGGUGGCAAGCGUUAUCCGGAAUUAUUGGGCGUAAAGCGCGCGUAGGCGGUUUCUUAAGUCUGAUGUGAAAGCCCACGGCUCAACCGUGGAGGGUCAUUGGAAACUGGGAAACUUGAGUGCAGAAGAGGAAAGUGGAAUUCCAUGUGUAGCGGUGAAAUGCGCAGAGAUAUGGAGGAACACCAGUGGCGAAGGCGACUUUCUGGUCUGUAACUGACGCUGAUGUGCGAAAGCGUGGGGAUCAAACAGGAUUAGAUACCCUGGUAGUCCACGCCGUAAACGAUGAGUGCUAAGUGUUAGGGGGUUUCCGCCCCUUAGUGCUGCAGCUAACGCAUUAAGCACUCCGCCUGGGGAGUACGACCGCAAGGUUGAGACUCAAAGGAAUUGACGGGGACCCGCACAAGCGGUGGAGCAUGUGGUUUAAUUCGAAGCAACGCGGAGAACCUUACCAAAUCUUGACAUCCUUUGACAACUCU